AUGUUCAAUGUAUAUCUCCUUGCAUUGCAUGAUCAUGGGUUUGGAUUGGGAGGCAGCGGGAAGUCCGGGCGUGCAUACUUGUUGGGUCAUGCUUGUGAGACAAGAUGGCUAUGUGCCUUUAUUGACGAUCUGCUUCGACGGAAUGAUAUCUCAAGUAUGCUCGAUCUUUUCUCCUGUUCACUAUCUACGCCAAGAUGUUGGUUGGUCCUGGCCAAAUACGAGUUCCAACACAAAGAAGAAGCUGCAGUGAGGCAUGCAAUAGACGCGAGCACUGAGCUCACAACACAUAGGCAUCAACUGCCGGGUGUACAUCUGUCCGAACUGCAGUACAACAGUCUAGGUUGUGAGUUCGAGUUCCACUAG
RNAcentral lists this ribosomal RNA (363 nucleotides) under Triticum aestivum (bread wheat). RNAcentral describes it as "partial small subunit ribosomal RNA". Lineage: Eukaryota; Viridiplantae; Streptophyta; Magnoliopsida; Poales; Poaceae. The record is from RNAcentral.